RNAcentral lists this ribosomal RNA (460 nucleotides) under uncultured bacterium. RNAcentral describes it as "partial 16S ribosomal RNA". It matches the Rfam family "Bacterial small subunit ribosomal RNA", at positions 338 to 795 of the family's 1533-position model. The record is from RNAcentral.
CCUACGGGAGGCAGCAGUGAGGAAUAUUGGUCAAUGGACGCAAGUCUGAACCAGCCAUGCCGCGUGCAGGAUGACGGCCCUAUGAGUUGUAAACUGCUUUUGUACGAGGGUAAACGCAGAUACGCGUAUCUGUCUGAAAGUAUCGUACGAAUAAGGAUCGGCUAACUCCGUGUCAGCAGCCGCGGUAAUACGGAGUAUCCGAGCGUUAUCGGGAUUUAUUGGGUGUAAAGGGUGCGUAGGCGGUCGGAUAAGUUUGAGGUGAAAUCCCCAGGCUCAACUUCGGAGUUGCAUCUGAAACUGGACGGCUAGAGAGUAGUAGCGGUAGACGGAAUUGAUAGUGUAGCGGUGAAAUGCUUAGAGAUCAUACAGAACACCGAUGGCGAAGGCAGCUUACCAAGCUGCAUCUGACGCUGAGGCACGAAAGCGUGGGGAGCAAACAGGAUUAGAUACCCCAGUAGUC